CAGUAGCCGCGGGAAUACGAAGGGAGCUAGCGUUGUUCGGAUUUACUGGGCGUAAAGCGCACGUAGGCGGACUUUUAAGUCAGGGGUGAAAUCCCGGGGCUCAACCCCGGAACUGCCUUUGAUACUGGGAGUCUUGAGUUCGAGAGAGGUGAGUGGAAUUGCGAGUGUAGAGGUGAAAUUCGUAGAUAUUCGCAGGAACACCAGUGGCGAAGGCGGCUCACUGGCUCGAUACUGACGCUGAGGUGCGAAAGCGUGGGGAGCGAACAGGAUUAGAUACCCGAGUAGUCCCUGUCUCUUAUAU
Molecule: ribosomal RNA, 301 nt
Filed under: uncultured bacterium
Lineage: Bacteria
Description: partial 16S ribosomal RNA
Rfam family: Bacterial small subunit ribosomal RNA
Source: RNAcentral